Molecule: transfer RNA, 60 nt
Filed under: Apis cerana (Asiatic honeybee)
Lineage: Eukaryota; Metazoa; Arthropoda; Insecta; Hymenoptera; Apidae
Description: tRNA-Ser
Source: RNAcentral
GAAAUAUCAAAAAUAAAGCUUCUAACUUUAUAAAAAGAUUUAAAAUAAAUCUAUAUUUCU